UGGAAUAUGAAUGAAAUUAGUAUUGCGCCAAUUCUGAAUGUAGUCCUUACAAAGCCAAACACUUUGGCUUUCCCUGUUGCACCUCUGUCAUUUCAAGAAAAGAACAUGCUUCUUCUAGCCUGCUAGUCCAGAAAGAUGAGAGACACAUAAAGCAGAACCACAGGGUUGAUUGCUGACUUUCAAUUUUAAAGCUGUCCAGGUGAUUUUAUCUAGUCCAUCCAACCUCCAGUUUAUGGAUGCCUGAAUAAGCCCAGCCAAGAUCAGUGGAGCCAUUUCAGCCAACCUACAGACAUGCAACUAUGGAUUUGCACGGUCUGGAUCUCCCUCCAGAAAAAUCUGCUGCAGAGAGCAUAGUUGAUUGAGUUUCCAGAACACCUGUGUUCCUCCUAGCAGCCACACCAACGCCAUGCUUUCCCUAGGCUGCUGCCAGCAAUAAUGAAGAGUGGUGGCCUACUAGAGCCAGCUCAUUUCUGUCUGACAUUGAACUCCUUCAAGGAAAGGUUUUCUGAAGACUCUUCAUGAUCCUAGCCUAGAUCUUCAAUUACACUUCAAUCUGAA
This is a long non-coding RNA of Felis catus (domestic cat), 558 nucleotides long. RefSeq lists it as uncharacterized. The transcript has 2 exons. NCBI's taxonomy places the organism in Eukaryota, Metazoa, Chordata, Mammalia, Carnivora, Felidae. The record is from RefSeq and is a predicted model, not a curated record.